This 72-nucleotide transfer RNA is filed under the name Thalassobathia pelagica (pelagic brotula). RNAcentral's name for it is "tRNA-Asp". It matches the Rfam family "tRNA". Rfam says of the family: Transfer RNA (tRNA) molecules are approximately 80 nucleotides in length. Lineage: Eukaryota; Metazoa; Chordata; Actinopteri; Ophidiiformes; Ophidiidae. The record is from RNAcentral.
GAGACACUAGUAAAAUAGUAAUUACACUGCUUUGUCAGGGCAGAGUCGCGAGUUAAAGCCUCGCGUGUCUUA